This 332-nucleotide ribosomal RNA is filed under the name Glaucopterum lukjanovitshi. RNAcentral describes it as "partial large subunit ribosomal RNA". The record is from RNAcentral. Lineage: Eukaryota; Metazoa; Arthropoda; Insecta; Hemiptera; Miridae.
UUUUAGAGACGGAAUUUGAUUUUUAUAUUAGAAAGUUUAAAUAUAUUUAUAGGACGAGAAGACCCUAUAGAACUUGACUUUCCCUAAUUUAAUUAUUUACUUGUAAAUAAUUUUUAUUUAUUUUAGGGAAAGUUUUAUUGGGGUGAUAAAAAAAAUUUUUUAACUUUUUUUAUUUUUUUCAUUUAUGUAUGGAUUUUUGAUCCUGUUUUAUGGAUUACAAGAUUAAGUUACCUUAGGGAUAACAGCGUUAUUACUUUGGAGAGUUCAUAUUGAUAAAGUAGUUUGCGACCUCGAUGUUGGAUUAAAAUUAGUGUCGGGGGUAGAAUAUCGAU